Molecule: long non-coding RNA, 536 nt
Filed under: Physcomitrium patens
Lineage: Eukaryota; Viridiplantae; Streptophyta; Bryopsida; Funariales; Funariaceae
Description: long non-coding RNA (PPAT_LNC010064)
Source: RNAcentral
AAACUGAGGCAAUCGUUGCUGAAGUCAGUGUUGUAAUGGUGAAUCAGGAUUUUUAAUGAAGUGGGUUUGAUUACUCUUGACUGUUUUGUGAAAUCGAGUUACGUUUGUGAUGAAGAAUUAAAAGAGUGUCUAUAGGAUUGAAUAUGCAGAGUGAAUGAAAUUUAUUGGAUUAAUCUAACGAGACAGUCAGUGAAUACAAGAUCGUGAGUAUAAAGCGGUAUCGAAGAUUAGCAGUUUGGAUUGCUCAAGGUUCUCUAUAACGUCUAGAGACCUAUCGGCUGGGACAAAAAGGACUUCGACAAGUAGUCGAAGGGCAUCCGUAUAGAUUUACGGUGUAUUCUUACAGUUGUUUAUAUUCCAACAGUCAAAAACCGAUAGACUGUUUGAAUAUUAGCGAAUCUCUAUACUACCUUCUACAUCCAGACGCCCGGUGCAUUCUCGAGCAGGAAAGCACGUAAUACAACAAAAGUGGUGAACCCGACGUGAAAGCUUGAGGUGGAAGGUAUUGGAUUUUGUUUGAUUUUAUUUUUAUUUUU